Molecule: small RNA, 304 nt
Filed under: Histoplasma capsulatum var. duboisii H88
Lineage: Eukaryota; Fungi; Ascomycota; Eurotiomycetes; Onygenales; Ajellomycetaceae
Description: Histoplasma capsulatum H88 hypothetical RNA
Source: RNAcentral
GUUUUCGAAUGGUUUCUCGAACUGAAUCUUGCUCAGUUCUGGAAAUGUUUUGGCAUCCCCGCUGCAAGUCCAAGAGGCAGAAUAGCAGAGUGUUGCCAAUCAAUCAACCCAAUAAUUUCAUUCGUCUUCGACACGAGAAUAUUAUUCGGCUGGAAGUCAGGAUGGCGAAUAACCGGUCGAUUUAGUGAGCUUCCCGUUUUGAAGCCAAGGCAUCGCGCUAACUUUAGGUAACCAAACAAAUUUUCGAUGUGACUAGUUAUCCGGGGAAACCUGACAAAUAUUAUGGAUCUCUCUGUAAAGGCGU